RNAcentral lists this ribosomal RNA (301 nucleotides) under uncultured bacterium. RNAcentral's name for it is "partial 16S ribosomal RNA". It matches the Rfam family "Bacterial small subunit ribosomal RNA", at positions 509 to 807 of the family's 1533-position model. The record is from RNAcentral.
CAGUCGCCACGGUAAUACGUAGGGUGCAAGCGUUAAUCGGAAUUACUGGGCGUAAAGGGCGCGUAGGUGGUUAUGUAAGUGAGAUGUGAAAUCCCCGGGCUCAACCUGGGAACUGCAUCUUAUACUGCGUAGCUGGAGUGCAGUAGAGGGUAGUGGAAUUUCCGGUGUAGCGGUGAAAUGCGUAGAUAUUGGGAAGAACACCGGUGGCGAAGGCGGCAACCUGGUCCUUGACUGACGCUGAGGCGCGAAAGCGUGGGGAGCAAACAGGAUUAGAGACCCCCGUAGUCCCUGUCUCUUAUAC